CCCUUAGAUGUCCUGGGCCGCACGCGCGCUACACUGACAUGUUCAACAAGCCUCCUAGUUCGACAGGAUUUGGGAAAUCUUUGAACGCAUGUCGUGAUAGGGAUAGAUCAUUGCAAUUAUUGAUCUUGAACGAGGAAUUCCUAGUAAACGCGAGUCAUCAGCUCGCAUUGAUUACGUCCCUGCCCUUUGUACACACCGCCCAUCGCACCUACCGAUUGAAUGUUUCGGUGAAGAUUCCGGAUAGGACUUUUUUGAUUUAUUUCAAUUUUGUCUUAAAAGCUAUCUAAACCUCAACAUUUAGAGGAAGGUGAAGUCGUAACA
RNAcentral lists this ribosomal RNA (321 nucleotides) under uncultured eukaryote. RNAcentral's name for it is "partial 18S ribosomal RNA". It matches the Rfam family "Eukaryotic small subunit ribosomal RNA", at positions 1470 to 1796 of the family's 1831-position model. The record is from RNAcentral.